UUUUUGGCGUGUUUGACGAAUCCUAACUGCCCCUAUUACCACUGGGGUCCUACUUGUGUAAUAAUUUUGGCAACUUCGCCGAUCGACACAUCCUCAAACGAACGGGCUUCGAGUGUAAUUAUUUGUGCUAAUGACCCCUCACAUUGCUCAGCAUAUGCUGUUGUCAUUAACAAUGAACCAAUAUCUGUCACUCAUGCGGAGUGUUCCCGCCAAUCACUAGAAAAACCUGGUUGUAUUGGAUACCUUUAUUCAGAUGGGUCUUGUAUACUGCAGUUUGUCGAUGGAGUAAAAUUAGAUACGAGUAGCAAUGCGGAAGCAAAUCCUUUGAUUAGCU
Molecule: long non-coding RNA, 334 nt
Organism: Physella acuta
Lineage: Eukaryota; Metazoa; Mollusca; Gastropoda; Physidae
Source: RefSeq, a predicted model, not a curated record